This is a small RNA of 76 nucleotides. It matches the Rfam family "Xanthomonas sRNA sX9".
AUGUACCGCUUGUACACUCCGGUUCCUGCGCGCUGCGCGCACCCACCUGACAGACGCUCGCGACGUGUUGUUAACC